Manis pentadactyla (Chinese pangolin) is the source of this 3424-nucleotide long non-coding RNA. RefSeq lists it as uncharacterized. The transcript is spliced from 3 exons. The record is from RefSeq and is a predicted model, not a curated record. Lineage: Eukaryota; Metazoa; Chordata; Mammalia; Pholidota; Manidae.
CCUAGGGCCCAUCUGCCACCUGGAAGAAGCAAAGUGGGAUCCUCCGUCCGGGCCCAUUUCCAGCCCCUAUAACCUGAGACUCCAGAAGCAUCCAGAAUAGGAAGGGGGGUGGUCAUAGGCAGAAUGCUGAAAAGUGGUUCUGGAAGUCAGGGGAGAGGGAGAGGCAGGGAGCUGAGCUGGACCCGCUCUAGCAGCCUGGCGGCCCUCCUCUCUGGUUCCACCCUCCUCUUCCAACCCACCCCACCCCAGCUCCCACCCGCCUCCACAGGGGGAAAGAGGCCCGAGGCCCAGGAGGGCAUGGAAACUUGGGUGGAGACAACCAGGCUCCAAACCUGAUCCACCACCUCACUACCCCCCAGGCCUCCCAGACUUUCUCCACCCCCCUCCCCACCUGGGAGGCUCCUGAGGUGGGGGGGCCAUUGGGGAAGCAAGUGCCUGGGAGAGGGAGGCUGGGAGAUGCAUUUAGGUGGGGGCUGCAACCCCCUCAUUUUGCAGAGAAGAAAAGGAGACUGAGGGCAGCCGCUCAGCCCAGGCUACACAGCAAGGAAGAGCCAGGACCUGGGCUGGAGCCUGGGGCUGUGGCCAAGGGCACAUCAUGGGGCCUUUCCAUAGAGAGGACAGCGGAUUGGAGGCUGUGACAUUGUAACUGCGAGCAGAGAGGUUCCCAGAAGGAGGGAAUCCAUUACUCUUAUAAAUAAGGGUGCUCAUCUCUCAUGCCUCAUCGUGUACAUUGCUUUGUAUCCUGAUGACUCACCUUUUAAUUGAUGGUCUUCACUGCAGCUGGAUAUUUCUUCACAUGCUGCCAACCACAAGUCCAAACUUGACUUUGUGGCCGAAUGUUUGCAUUCAAUCUGUUAUCAGUUGAAUUUCUGGUUCCAUUCUCAUGACUCAGAUGCACAUCCUUCAUGGAUUCUUAUUAAUUUGUGUUGAUUACCUUUAUGUCACUUCUGGAAUAAUAUUUUGGAUGCAUUUUUUUCACUUGCAAUUAAGUAGUGAAGGUAUUUUUUUCCCAAUAUGUUUUUUCUCAUUGAGCUAUCCUUUGCGUUCAUAAAAAUAUGUAGAUUUUAACAGAAUACGGAUGAGUUGUGACUAAUGUACACACCUGUGCAACCGCCGCCUCCAUCAGCUUUCCUUGAGCCCCGGAAACAGCCAGCUCCCUUCCUCUCCCCGAGGAAAUCACAGUCAUUUCUCAGUACUUAACAGCCACAAAUUCAUUUGCCAUCAAACUAAAGAUAAUCAGGUCUUUGGAAGACACACCUGAGUUUGCUGACGUUGGUCCUCCAGAACGUAAUUCAGCUCUGAAGUCCCGUGGGAACCUUGCAGUUCAAUGUAUGAAUCAAAUAAGUUGUGCCAAUCCAAUCACUGCUACAGGGAAAAUCAUUUGCUGUUCUGUUUGGUUCCAAAGACAGAAACUGAGUUCAUCAAACUCUCUUAAAUGAGUCAAGCUGCGUGUGGGAUUUCACCUCGUGGAGAUACAAACUCCCAUAUGGAAGACGCGUUCUCUGCACCAGAAGGAUUCUUAUCAAGUUAAGACCUAGAGAAUUCUAUGCCAUCAGGCCUUGUUGAAAUAUUUCUUAUCUUCCUUUAGCCUCCCCACAUUUUAGUUUACUUUUCCACAACUGCCUCUCUUGUUCAACUUAAUAUAAAAGCAUGUAGGUUUAGCCAUUUCUUUGUCUUCAUUUCCUUAGGGAAGCUCCAGUGUCACUUAAAACUUACAUAAGUGUAUAUGCAUUUCUCCUGUUAAUCUGUCAGUUUAAUACCCCAGUUUAAUUCUCAGGCCCAGAUGAAAAUCUAGGAGGGCAGUUACAACUUUGUCUCCCCUACAGUGCGCAUAUAUACAUCUGCAUUCAUGUACCCCCACCUCUUCUGUCCUGGAAGGGCCUGGAAGCAGAGACACCGAAGACCAGUGAACACAUCUGGGCCCAGAUCUUGGUUCCUAAGGACGGCACCUUUCUCUACUAAAGAAACUCUUUUCGAAAUGGCUAUUUCUAAGGCUUGGCCAGGGAAAGUAUAUGAUGUGCCAGGAACAACUUAUUGUGUCAGAGAAUGUGCUGGGCAUGUUGGACAGCUGCAUGAGCUUGCCUGAAGGGCUCCGCACUGAAUCUGGGGCAGGGAGAGUCAUGCGUGACGGGACCAUCAAUCCGCAGGAAGCCACGAGGCCAUACUGAUGUUGUCUUGUGCUGUGAAGGUUGCUAUAGCAAAAAUAUCAUCACUUGGGUGGCUUAGAAACAACAGAAACUUAUUUCUCAAGGUUCUGGAGGCUGGAGAGUCCAGGAUCAAGGCACCAAUUUAUUAAGUUGCCUUGUGAGAGAACCCAAUUCCUGGUUCAGGAAUGGCCAUGUUCUCAUUGUACCCUCACAUGGCUGAAGGGGCAAAGGAACUCUCUUGGUGCUUUUGUAAGAGCACUGAUCCCAUUCAUGAGGGCUCUGCCUUCAUGAUCUCAUCUCUUCCCAAAGGCCCCACCUCCAAAUAACAACCCCUUGAGGAUUAGGUUUCAUCACAGGAAUUUGUUGGGGGUGGGGAAGUGGACACAACAUUCAGUCACUAGCAGAUGUGAAUCAUGAAAUGAUUGAAAUGAGAAAAGUUUGAUGAACAACAUAAUAUUUGCAUAAUUUCCAAGCACCUUCCCACAAAUGCUUUACUAAUGAAAAAGGACAAAAAGAUAACUCUAUUGUGGAGAAGGCUGGCAGGUAUCAUGAGUCAUGUGAUCCAAGUCACCAUAACCAGUGACAGGACACAUCAAGGUCAUGGGCAGCUUGAUAGGAUGCACGCAGUGUCACUUCUGUGGGUCUUCUGCCCAAAGGGAAUAACUUGAAUGUCUUCCAAAGCAUCAAGGUCUUGAAAGACAAAGAUGAGGAACCAUUCCAGAGUGAUGGGGACAGACUAAAAAGAUAUGACAAGCAAAUCAAAGCAGGUUCUGAACUGUACCCUGUGACACAGGGAACAUGGAACCAUAGGCCGAAUUUGAAGGGGUCUGAAGGUCAGAUGGCAGUAGGGUCUCAGUGUUGAGUUCCCGAUACUGAUGAGUGUAGAUGGAUGUCCUUUUUUACAGGAAAUACUUAGUAUUAUACUUAUUAUUCAGAGGUGAUGGUGAGGCAGGUCAUAGUAGGAUGCAGGCAGAUAAAGUUCAGAACCCUUGUAAGUUAAAAAAAAAAAAGCCCCAAUCCAACUCAGUCUCUUAGAUAGACCUCAGCUGCUCUGACUGGUUGUGCCCUAUGCAAAUGAAGCAUUGAACUUUCAGCCAAUUAGAAGUGAGUUGUGAUGUCAUUAGUUCAGUUAUCUAUUGGAGAGGGGGACUUUCUCCUCUCAGGAGGAAAUAUAAACCCCAGACACCACAGUCCAGACGUUAUUCUCCUUGGAGCCCCAACUGAUUAGCAGGCACUUUCUCUUUUCACUCAUUAAAAGAGCUUUGCUGGUUGCUGCA